GAUGAACGCUGGCGGCGUGCCUAAUACAUGCAAGUCGAACGAACAGACGAUGAGCUUGCUCCUCUGACGUUAGCGGCGGACGGGUGAGUAACACGUGUAUAACCUACCUAUAAUACUGGUAUAAUUUCGGGAAACCGGAGCUAAUACCGGAUAAUAUAUUGAACCGCAUGGUGCAAUAGUGAAAUACGGUUUUGCUGUCACUUAUAGAUGGAUCCGCGCCGCAUUAGAUAGUUGGUAAGGUAACGGCUUACCAAGGCAACGAUGCGUAAACGAACUGUGGGGGUGAUCGGCGACACUGGAACUGAGACACGGUCCAGACUCCUACGGGAGGCAGCAGUAGGGUAUGUUCCGCAAUGGGCGAGAGUUUGACGGAGCAAGGCCGAGUGAGUGAUGACGGCCCUGGGAUCGUAAAAACCUGUUACUAGGGAAAAACAAAUGUGUACGUAAAUAUGCACGUAUUGACGGUAACUAAUCAGAAAGCAACGGCUAACUACGUG
Molecule: ribosomal RNA, 497 nt
Filed under: uncultured bacterium
Lineage: Bacteria
Description: partial 16S ribosomal RNA
Rfam family: Bacterial small subunit ribosomal RNA
Source: RNAcentral